CCGCGGUAAUACGGAGGAUGCGAGCGUUAUCCGGAUUCAUUGGGUUUAAAGGGUGCGUAGGCGGACUAUUAAGUCAGUGGUGAAAUCCUGCAGCUUAACUGCAGAACUGCCAUUGAUACUGAUAGCCUUGAGUUUGGUUAAGGUAGGCGGAAUGUGUAAUGUAGCGGUGAAAUGCUUAGAUAUUACACAGAACACCAAUUGCGUAGGCAGCUUACUGAGCCGACACUGACGCUGAGGCACGAAAGCGUGGGGAUCGAACAG
Molecule: ribosomal RNA, 261 nt
Filed under: uncultured bacterium
Lineage: Bacteria
Description: partial 16S ribosomal RNA
Rfam family: Bacterial small subunit ribosomal RNA
Source: RNAcentral